AAGAAUUCUCAGGGCGGGGUGAAAUUCCCCACCGGCGGUAGUUCGAAAUAGAUCAUAUAAAAAUGGCUUAUUUUGAAAAGCCCGCGAGCGCUUAACUAAUUUCACGUUAGUUAAGGUCAGCAGAUCUGGUUCAGUGCUUUUUUACAUGAUUCCAGAGCCGACGGUUAUAGUCCGGAUGAAAGAGGAUCAGU
Molecule: non-coding RNA, 191 nt
Filed under: Photobacterium marinum
Lineage: Bacteria; Pseudomonadati; Pseudomonadota; Gammaproteobacteria; Vibrionales; Vibrionaceae
Description: FMN sequence
Rfam family: FMN riboswitch aptamer (RFN element)
About the family: The RFN element is a highly conserved domain that is found frequently in the 5'-untranslated regions of prokaryotic mRNAs that encode for flavin mononucleotide (FMN) biosynthesis and transport proteins. This element is a metabolite-dependent riboswitch that directly binds FMN in the absence of proteins. In Bacillus subtilis, the riboswitch most likely controls gene expression by causing premature transcription termination within the 5' untranslated region of the ribDEAHT operon and precluding access to the ribosome-binding site of ypaA mRNA.
Source: RNAcentral